GUGUCAGCAGCCGCGGUAAUACGUAGGUGGCAAGCGUUGUCCGGAUUUAUUGGGUUUAAAGGGUGCGUAGGCGGCCCUGUAAGUCAGUGCUGAAAUCCCCCGGCUUAACCGGGGUGGUGGCAUUGAUACUGCAGGGCUUGAGUACAGAUGAGGUAGGCGGAAUUGACGGUGUAGCGGUGAAAUGCAUAGAUAUCGUCAAGAACACCGAUAGCGAAGGCAGCUUACUGGGCUGUAACUGACGCUGAUGCACGAAAGUGUGGGGAUCAAACAGGAUUAGAUACCCCCGUAGUCC
Molecule: ribosomal RNA, 292 nt
Filed under: uncultured bacterium
Lineage: Bacteria
Description: partial 16S ribosomal RNA
Rfam family: Bacterial small subunit ribosomal RNA
Source: RNAcentral